CAACUCUGGUUUCUCUUCAAUCAAGCACAAGUUUUUCGCCUUUUACUAAAGACUUCCGUGGAGAGCAACGCUCGAGUUAAACGUAUUUUUGGACGGGCUUUGCUCCCGGCAGCGCC
Molecule: small nuclear RNA, 116 nt
Filed under: Esox lucius (northern pike)
Lineage: Eukaryota; Metazoa; Chordata; Actinopteri; Esociformes; Esocidae
Description: U5 spliceosomal RNA
Rfam family: U5 spliceosomal RNA
About the family: U5 RNA is a component of both types of known spliceosome.
Source: Rfam by way of RNAcentral